Jaculus jaculus (lesser Egyptian jerboa) is the source of this 408-nucleotide long non-coding RNA. RefSeq lists it as uncharacterized. The record is from RefSeq and is a predicted model, not a curated record. Lineage: Eukaryota; Metazoa; Chordata; Mammalia; Rodentia; Dipodidae. The transcript has 3 exons.
AAGUUGCUCAGGAGGCCUGGCCCAGUAGAAAAGUGAAGUGAAAACAAGAAUUCCUAGAACAGAAGCUACAACCCUUCCUUCUCCACGUGCUCCGAGGACAGAAUCUCCCCUGGUGGACGAUGAGGACUUACAAGACGAGCCUCUGCAGAUCACAGUUCUCGACCACGACACCUACAGUGCCAAUGACGCCAUUGGCAAAGUGUACAUCGACAUCGACCCUCUGCUGUACAGUGAAGCUGCCACAGUCAUCUCAGGGUGGUUUCCUAUUUAUGACACCAUCCACGCAACAUCUACCCCAAAGUGCUAUCGAGCUGUGCUGAUUCAUGGCUUUGUAGAAGAGCUUGUGGUCAAUGAAGACCCUGAAUACAAUGGAUUGAUCGCAUUCGCACCCCAAGGGCAUCAAAUGAG